GAUUGAGUAUAAGUAUGUCCUAUUCAAUAUUCAGGACAUACUUAUAUUAAAA
RNAcentral lists this microRNA precursor (52 nucleotides) under Pteropus alecto (black flying fox). RNAcentral describes it as "mir-1302 microRNA precursor family". It matches the Rfam family "mir-1302 microRNA precursor family". RNAcentral also lists the same sequence under 1 other name. The record is from Rfam by way of RNAcentral. Lineage: Eukaryota; Metazoa; Chordata; Mammalia; Chiroptera; Pteropodidae.